AAAUUCCAGAUGACACGAUGCUCACUUGUUCGCGAGGCUCAGACAGUGCACUCGAGUUCCUUUCCACCUGCAAAUUAUCAAACUUAACCGUGAAGGCCGAGCUCGGUUGCUGCUUGCUUCAUCGAUGAUGCUCACUUGUUCGCGAGGCUCAGACAGUGCACUCGAGUUCCUUUCCACCUGCAAAUUAUCAAACUUAACCGUGAAGGCCGAGCUCGGUUGCUGCUUGCUUCAUCGAAGCGGAAGGCUGAUCAUAGACGGAUGCUUACUCCAAUGCGAGUCCAACCCUCUCGAUUUUCUCUCAUGUCCCAUCGUAAGUACCGCCUG
This 324-nucleotide long non-coding RNA is filed under the name Lathyrus oleraceus (garden pea). RNAcentral's name for it is "Pisum sativum (pea) long non-coding RNA (PSAT_LNC031165)". The record is from RNAcentral. Lineage: Eukaryota; Viridiplantae; Streptophyta; Magnoliopsida; Fabales; Fabaceae.